RNAcentral lists this ribosomal RNA (286 nucleotides) under Salmonella enterica subsp. enterica serovar Newport. RNAcentral describes it as "partial 23S ribosomal RNA". It matches the Rfam family "Bacterial large subunit ribosomal RNA", at positions 1397 to 1682 of the family's 2925-position model. The record is from RNAcentral. Lineage: Bacteria; Pseudomonadati; Pseudomonadota; Gammaproteobacteria; Enterobacterales; Enterobacteriaceae.
CGAGGCUGAAAAGCGUAGUCGAUGGGCAACGGGUUAAUAUUCCCGUACUGGUGGUAACUGCGAAGGGGGGACGGAGAAAGCUAAAUCAUCCGGGCGACGGUUGUCCCGGUUUAAGCGUGCAGGUGGACUGACCAGGCAAAUCCGGUCGGUUGUUAACACUGAGGCGUGACGACGAGCCACUACGGUGGUGAAGUGAUUGAUGCUCUGCUUCCGGGAAAAGCCUCUAAGCUCCAGGUUACCAUUAAUCGUACCCCAAACCGACACAGGUGGUCAGGUAGAGAAUACU